UACGAAGGGGGCGAGCGUUGUUCGGAAUUACUGGGCGUAAAGGGCGCGCAGGCGGCCUUAGAAGUCAGAUGUGAAAGCCCCGGGCUCAACCUGGGAAUGGCAUUUGAUACUCUGAGGCUGGAGUACGGGAGAGGAGAGUGGAAUUCCCAGUGUAGAGGUGAAAUUCGUAGAUAUUGGGAAGAACACCGGUGGCGAAGGCGGCUCUCUGGACCGUAACUGACGCUCAUGCACGACAGCGUGGGGAUCAAACAGG
Molecule: ribosomal RNA, 253 nt
Filed under: uncultured bacterium
Lineage: Bacteria
Description: partial 16S ribosomal RNA
Rfam family: Bacterial small subunit ribosomal RNA
Source: RNAcentral